UGUCAAGAGUCAUAGCGUCAUUUUGGCGGGUGGAUUUCUUUUGCCUUUCGAAAGGUAAGAGGAAAUG
Molecule: regulatory RNA element, 67 nt
Rfam family: S-element
About the family: This family represents a group of S-elements from p42d and related plasmids. The S-element has multiple functions and is believed to act as a negative regulator of repC transcription, be required for efficient replication and act as a translational enhancer of repC.
Source: Rfam